UCUCUGUUAGUAUAUCGGUUAGUACACGCGCCUGUCAUUAAGAGGUCGUACCAGAUACGCGCGAAAGCUGGGUUCGACUCCCGGACAGAGAG
Molecule: transfer RNA, 92 nt
Filed under: Pleurotus eryngii
Lineage: Eukaryota; Fungi; Basidiomycota; Agaricomycetes; Agaricales; Pleurotaceae
Description: tRNA-Asp
Source: RNAcentral